CAUCUCUGUCCACAGCUAUUACUUGUGCUUGUUUCUGCCACUUGCUAGAGGUGCAGAGUUGAGGUACAAGUGAUGGGGAUGCUUGUCCUAUCAAUUUUUCUUGUCACUGAAUAGCCAGAAUCUCAUCUCUUACAGUCCUUCUUCAUCCCAAUGUAUGCAUCUUUCCAUCUCACAUGUUUCUUCCUAAAGACCAGCUUGCCAACUUGGUUGUUUUGGGAAUGUAACCACCUGUUUAUAUUCCCUAAUCUGCAUGCUGAGGGAAAGCAUUAAAGUGGAUUUUACUCUGUGCAUUGUUGCAGGGCCCUGGAUUUCAGGCUUUUUGUGCCUUUUUAUGUCUGAAGUACAUAAAAAUACUCACAGAGCAAUGGUGUGGGAGCAGUGUCCAAGGCAUCCCACAUAAUACAUGAUUUUGAGGCAGUCCUGCUCUGGUCUCUAUCCAGAAUGAUGUGUGCCACAAACACAAAUUCUUCAACAGAGUGGAGCAGUGUGAAUAAUUGUGAAUUACUGUGUCUUGUCUGUUUGCAGAUCUCAGAGAACAGCUUCUGGUCAUUGAAGGUGAAUGAGCAAAGUUUCUGGCACUUGUGUGACAAACAAAUCCUAGCAAGGUGUUUCCAAGCCUGGAGGAGAUACAUCCUUUGGAAGAGGGCAGCCACACAGCUCUACAGACACCAGCUGCUUCAGAAGGGCUUUGGUGCUCUGCAGGGGAUUGUGCACCAAAGGAGGACACAACUGGAGGUGGCCCAGCAGAGACAUGCUUCAGCUCUGCUAGCUGCCAGCUUCCAGAGGUGGAAGGAAGCUAUGGCAAAGCAGAGCCAGAAGAAAGCUCUGCAGCCUGAGCCUUACUCCUACACUCAAAGUUCAUCAGUGGGGAGUUUUGGAGUAGGAAGAUUGGCCACUAUGACAGCCCCAGCUCAGCAUCAGCUUCCAGCAGGAUACUCAAAGGAAGUGGAGCAGGCUCAUAGGAUGGAGGCAGAGCUGUGGACACAGUUUCGUCACAGGCAGAGAGGAGAUGAGUUCUGCUGGGGAGUUGAAGCAAUCAGAGACAUGAGGAGGCUGGCUGCUUUCAGACUGUGGCGCCUGCAGAAGGAGCUGCUGAGCAAAGAGGAAGCCAGGCUUUUGGAAGCCCGUGCUCUGCUGGAGAAGAAAAAGCUACAAAACAUUUUCUGGAUGUGGCAUUCCCAAAGCUUGGAAAUGAAAAAGAUUCUAACACUGACAACUCAAAUCCAAAGAAACUUGGUCUCCCGGUGCUUCAGUACAUGGAAGGAGACUGUUGAGCAGAAGGCACUUGACAGGUGCAACCUGGCCCAUCUCAGAGCAGUAUCACUGAGGAGGCACUUCCAGCAGUGGGUUGGGAUGCUGCAGGUCAGAAGAAGUGAUAAGCAGGCAGUGCUGAACCUCUUCCUCCUGCAGUGGAGGCAGCAUUAUGGUGAGCAGUUUGGGCUCUGUGCAGAAUCUAAACUUUAG
Molecule: long non-coding RNA, 1464 nt
Filed under: Zonotrichia albicollis (white-throated sparrow)
Lineage: Eukaryota; Metazoa; Chordata; Aves; Passeriformes; Passerellidae
Description: lncRNA (ENSZALG00000012213.1)
Source: RNAcentral